UACGGGGGGAGCGAACGUUGUUCGGAAUCACUGGGCGUAAAGGGCGUGUAGGCGGUUCGGUAAGUGGAAUGUGAAAUCCCCCGGCUUACCCGGGGAACUGCAUCCCAUACUGCUGGACUUGAGUGCGGGAGAGGAUGGAGGAAUUCCUGGUGUAGCGGUGAAAUGCGUAGAUAUCAGGAGGAACACCGGUGGCGAAGGCGGCCCUCUGGCUCGACCCUGACGCUGAGGCGCGAAAGCGUGGGGAGCGAACGGG
Molecule: ribosomal RNA, 253 nt
Filed under: uncultured bacterium
Lineage: Bacteria
Description: partial 16S ribosomal RNA
Rfam family: Bacterial small subunit ribosomal RNA
Source: RNAcentral